Molecule: long non-coding RNA, 586 nt
Organism: Phyllostomus hastatus (greater spear-nosed bat)
Lineage: Eukaryota; Metazoa; Chordata; Mammalia; Chiroptera; Phyllostomidae
Exons: 3
Source: RefSeq, a predicted model, not a curated record
GUUAAGUAACUUAACUUAGUAGGUGGGAGAGCCAGGAUUUGAAUCCGCCAAUUCUAGUCCGAGACCCAGAGCCUAACCACUGGGCUUCCUCCGCAGCCAGCCCACAGGCAAGGCAGGUGAGCGCCAUCCAGCCGUUGCCCUGCUGACAGCCUGGGAGCUCGGCGGAACUACCCCAGGAUGGCACGUACAUUGUCUCACACUUGGAGCCCAGAUCCCUCGCCUCCGACGUGGGCAUGAGAGUCCCCGCUGCCUGGGCUGCUGUGAGGAGGAGGAUGUUCAUCAUAAAAGAGUGAAAAUCGCACCUGGCGCAUGGCAGGCACCCUGAGACUAAUUUUGUUGGCUUCACCACCCUGGAGAAACUUCCUUGAAACAUAAAUCUGUCAAAAGAGGUUUCAAAUACAAUGACCCCACAUGGAAUUCCCUCUGGUGCAGUGGCUGUUCUGAAAGCUGAGGGUCGAAUAUGUUCCACACCCCCGAUCUUCAGGUGGGUGUCACCUUGGGAGCGGGGUGUGGUGCAGAACCUCCUUUCAGGGCCUGCGCCGAAGCUUGGUUCUGAACCUGUGCCCACUUCUCCUGCCACACCUGA